Molecule: ribosomal RNA, 2900 nt
Filed under: Klebsiella pneumoniae
Lineage: Bacteria; Pseudomonadati; Pseudomonadota; Gammaproteobacteria; Enterobacterales; Enterobacteriaceae
Description: bacterial LSU rRNA
Rfam family: Bacterial large subunit ribosomal RNA
Source: RNAcentral
UUAAGCGACUAAGCGUACACGGUGGAUGCCCUGGCAGUCAGAGGCGAUGAAGGACGUGCUAAUCUGCGAAAAGCGUCGGUAAGGUGAUAUGAACCGUUAUAACCGGCGAUGUCCGAAUGGGGAAACCCAGUGCAAUUCGUUGCACUAUCGUUAACUGAAUACAUAGGUUAACGAGGCGAACCGGGGGAACUGAAACAUCUAAGUACCCCGAGGAAAAGAAAUCAACCGAGAUUCCCCCAGUAGCGGCGAGCGAACGGGGAGCAGCCCAGAGUCUGAAUCAGCUUGUGUGUUAGUGGAACGGUCUGGAAAGUCCGACGGUACAGGGUGAUAGUCCCGUACACCAAAAUGCACAGGUUGUGAACUCGAAGAGUAGGGCGGGACACGUGGUAUCCUGUCUGAAUAUGGGGGGACCAUCCUCCAAGGCUAAAUACUCCUGACUGACCGAUAGUGAACCAGUACCGUGAGGGAAAGGCGAAAAGAACCCCGGCGAGGGGAGUGAAAAAGAACCUGAAACCGUGUACGUACAAGCAGUGGGAGCACCUUCGGGUGUGACUGCGUACCUUUUGUAUAAUGGGUCAGCGACUUAUAUUCUGUAGCAAGGUUAACCGUAUAGGGGAGCCGCAGGGAAACCGAGUCUUAACUGGGCGUUAAGUUGCAGGGUAUAGACCCGAAACCCGGUGAUCUAGCCAUGGGCAGGUUGAAGGUUGGGUAACACUAACUGGAGGACCGAACCGACUAAUGUUGAAAAAUUAGCGGAUGACUUGUGGCUGGGGGUGAAAGGCCAAUCAAACCGGGAGAUAGCUGGUUCUCCCCGAAAGCUAUUUAGGUAGCGCCUCGUGAAUUCAUCUUCGGGGGUAGAGCACUGUUUCGGCUAGGGGGUCAUCCCGACUUACCAACCCGAUGCAAACUACGAAUACCGAAGAAUGUUAUCACGGGAGACACACGGCGGGUGCUAACGUCCGUCGUGAAGAGGGAAACAACCCAGACCGCCAGCUAAGGUCCCAAAGUCAUGGUUAAGUGGGAAACGAUGUGGGAAGGCACAGACAGCCAGGAUGUUGGCUUAGAAGCAGCCAUCAUUUAAAGAAAGCGUAAUAGCUCACUGGUCGAGUCGGCCUGCGCGGAAGAUGUAACGGGGCUAAACCAUGCACCGAAGCUGCGGCAGCGACACUAUGUGUUGUUGGGUAGGGGAGCGUUCUGUAAGCCUGCGAAGGUGACCUGUGAGGCAUGCUGGAGGUAUCAGAAGUGCGAAUGCUGACAUAAGUAACGAUAAAGCGGGUGAAAAGCCCGCUCGCCGGAAGACCAAGGGUUCCUGUCCAACGUUAAUCGGGGCAGGGUGAGUCGACCCCUAAGGCGAGGCCGAAAGGCGUAGUCGAUGGGAAACAGGUUAAUAUUCCUGUACUUGGUGUUACUGCGAAGGGGGGACGGAGAAGGCUAUGUUAGCCGGGCGACGGUUGUCCCGGUUUAAGCAUGUAGGCUGAUUAUCCAGGCAAAUCCGGAUAAUCAAGGCUGAGGUGUGAUGACGAGGCACUACGGUGCUGAAGUAACAAAUGCCCUGCUUCCAGGAAAAGCCUCUAAGCAUCAGGUAACAUCAAAUCGUACCCCAAACCGACACAGGUGGUCAGGUAGAGAAUACCAAGGCGCUUGAGAGAACUCGGGUGAAGGAACUAGGCAAAAUGGUGCCGUAACUUCGGGAGAAGGCACGCUGGUGUGUAGGUGAAGCCCCUGCGGGUGGAGCUGAGACCAGUCGAAGAUACCAGCUGGCUGCAACUGUUUAUUAAAAACACAGCACUGUGCAAACACGAAAGUGGACGUAUACGGUGUGACGCCUGCCCGGUGCCGGAAGGUUAAUUGAUGGGGUUAUCCGUAAGGAGAAGCUCUUGAUCGAAGCCCCGGUAAACGGCGGCCGUAACUAUAACGGUCCUAAGGUAGCGAAAUUCCUUGUCGGGUAAGUUCCGACCUGCACGAAUGGCGUAAUGAUGGCCAGGCUGUCUCCACCCGAGACUCAGUGAAAUUGAACUCGCUGUGAAGAUGCAGUGUACCCGCGGCAAGACGGAAAGACCCCGUGAACCUUUACUAUAGCUUGACACUGAACAUUGAGCCUUGAUGUGUAGGAUAGGUGGGAGGCUUUGAAGCGUGGACGCCAGUCUGCGUGGAGCCAACCUUGAAAUACCACCCUUUAAUGUUUGAUGUUCUAACGUUGGCCCCUGACCGGGGUUGCGGACAGUGUCUGGUGGGUAGUUUGACUGGGGCGGUCUCCUCCCAAAGCGUAACGGAGGAGCACGAAGGUUAGCUAAUCCUGGUCGGACAUCAGGAGGUUAGUGCAAUGGCAUAAGCUAGCUUGACUGCGAGCGUGACGGCGCGAGCAGGUGCGAAAGCAGGUCAUAGUGAUCCGGUGGUUCUGAAUGGAAGGGCCAUCGCUCAACGGAUAAAAGGUACUCCGGGGAUAACAGGCUGAUACCGCCCAAGAGUUCAUAUCGACGGCGGUGUUUGGCACCUCGAUGUCGGCUCAUCACAUCCUGGGGCUGAAGUAGGUCCCAAGGGUAUGGCUGUUCGCCAUUUAAAGUGGUACGCGAGCUGGGUUUAGAACGUCGUGAGACAGUUCGGUCCCUAUCUGCCGUGGGCGCUGGAGAAUUGAGGGGGGCUGCUCCUAGUACGAGAGGACCGGAGUGGACGCAUCACUGGUGUUCGGGUUGUCAUGCCAAUGGCACUGCCCGGUAGCUAAAUGCGGAAGAGAUAAGUGCUGAAAGCAUCUAAGCACGAAACUUGCCCCGAGAUGAGUUCUCCCUGAGACUUUAAGUCUCCUGAAGGAACGUUGAAGACGACGACGUUGAUAGGCCGGGUGUGUAAGCGCAGCGAUGCGUUGAGCUAACCGGUACUAAUGAACCGUGAGGCUUAACCUU